This 486-nucleotide ribosomal RNA is filed under the name uncultured bacterium. RNAcentral's name for it is "bacterial SSU rRNA". It matches the Rfam family "Bacterial small subunit ribosomal RNA", at positions 28 to 507 of the family's 1533-position model. The record is from RNAcentral.
GAUGAACGCUAGCGGCAGGCCUAACACAUGCAAGUCGAACGGUAACAGGGAUUGCUUGCAAUCCGCUGACGAGUGGCGCACGGGUGCGUAACGCGUAUAGAACCUACCCUUUACAGGGGGAUAGCCCGGAGAAAUUCGGAUUAAUACCCCAUGGUAAUGCUUCGGGGCAUCCUGAAGUGUUUAAAGUUUCGGCGGUAAAGGAUGGCUAUGCGUCUUAUUAGUUAGUAGGUGAGGUAACGGCUCACCUAGACAGCGAUAAGUAGGGGCCCUGAGAGGGGGAUCCCCACACUGGUACUGAGACACGGACCAGACUCCUACGGGAGGCAGCAGUGAGGAAUAUUGGACAAUGGUCGAGAGACUGAUCCAGCCAUGCCGCGUGCAGGAAGACGGCCCUAUGGGUUGUAAACUGCUUUUUUUACGGGAAGAAUAAUGCCCACGUGUGGGCAGAUGACGGUACCGUAGGAAUAAGGACCGGCUAACUCCGUG